Molecule: long non-coding RNA, 187 nt
Organism: Perca flavescens (yellow perch)
Lineage: Eukaryota; Metazoa; Chordata; Actinopteri; Perciformes; Percidae
Exons: 3
Source: RefSeq, a predicted model, not a curated record
UUCACUUUUUAAUUCUUCUUGGUGCAAGCAACGCAGAUUAGUUUUUUCAUCGCUACCUACAAGUGUCCUCUGAAGAAAGAGGAUUCGGUUCUACAGCAAUGGCUGCAUUUGUUUGCAUCAUUAGGUGAUCGUGCAAAGAGCUGGGAUAACGUGGCUGUGUUAGUUGACGAAACUAUUAAACCACAAG